UGAUGCAACCAUGCCGCGUGAGUGAUGACGGCUUUCGGGUUGUAAAACUCUUUUAGUAGGGAAGAUAAUGACGGUACCUACAGAAAAAGCACCGGCAAACUUCGUGCCAGCAGCCGCGGUAAUACGAGGGGUGCUAGCGUUGUUCGGAAUCACUGGGCGUAAAGGGUACGCAGGCGGUACAGCAAGUCGAUUGUGAAAGCCCCAGGCUCAACCUGGGAAUUGCGGUCGAAACUGCUGAACUAGAGUAUAGUCGGGGAUGGUGGAAUUCCUAGUGUAGGGGUGAAAUCCGUAUAUAUUAGGAGGAAUACCGGUGGCGAAGGCGACCAUCUAGGCUAUUACUGACGCUGAGGUACGAAAGCGUGGGGAGCAAACAGGAUUAAAUACCCUGGUAGUCCACGCAGUAAACGAUGAGUGCUAGUUGUCGGGGUCUUAAACUUCGGUGGUGAAGCUAACGCGUUAAGCACUCCGCCUGGGGACUACGGCCGCAAGGCUAAAACU
This 498-nucleotide ribosomal RNA is filed under the name uncultured bacterium. RNAcentral describes it as "bacterial SSU rRNA". It matches the Rfam family "Bacterial small subunit ribosomal RNA", at positions 384 to 901 of the family's 1533-position model. The record is from RNAcentral.